UGAGUACGAGAUGCUACGGCAUCGAAGCAGUCUAUGUCAUACUUCCAAGAAAAGCUUGCACUGUCAUAAACAAAGAAUGCCUGUACCAUAACCGACACAGGUGGGUAGGUAGAGUAUACUAAGGGGCGCGAGAUAACUCUCUCUAAGGAACUCGGCAAAAUGACUCCGUAACUUCGGGAGAAGGAGUGCCUUAUUUCUAAGGUUGCAAUAACAAGAUCCAAGCAACUGUUUACCAAAAACACAGGUCUCCGCUAAGUCGUAAGACGAUGUAUGGGGGCUGACGCCUGCCCAGUGCCAGAAGGUUAAAGAAGUUGGUUAGCAUUAGCGAAGCUGAUAACUGAAGCCCUGGUGAACGGCGGCCGUAACUAUAACGGUCCUAAGGUAGCGAAAUUCCUUGUCGGGUAAGUUCCGACCCGCACGAAAGGCGUAAUGAUUUGGAUACUGUCUCGGAGAGGGGCUCGGUGAAAUAGACUUGUCUGUGAAGAUGCGGACUACCUGCACCUGGACAGAAAGACCCUAUGAAGCUUUACUGUAACUUGAGAUUGAAAUUGGACUUUAUUUGCGCAGUAUAGGUGGGAGGCGUUGAGAAUAAUCUUGCGGGAUUGUUGGAGCCAUCAGUGAGAUACCACUCUUGUAAUGUUAGAUUUCUAACUUUGUAUCAUUAUCUGGUCAAAGAACAGUUUCAGGCGGGCAGUUUGACUGGGGCGGUCGCCUCCCAAAGGGUAACGGAGGCGCACAAAGGUUUCCUCUGAACGGGUAGAAAUCGUAUCUAGAGUGUAAAGGCAUAAGGAAGCUUGACUGUGAGACCUACAAGUCGAGCAGGGACGAAAGUCGGUCUUAGUGAUCUGACGGUGCUGAGUGGAAAGGCCGUCACUCAACGGAUAAAAGUUACUCUAAGGAUAACAGGCUGAUCUCCCCCAAGAGUUCACAUCGACGGGGAGGUUUGGCACCUCGAUGUCGGCUCAUCGCAUCCUGGGGCGGUAGUCCGUCCCAAGGGUUGGGCUGUUCGCCCAUGAAAGCGGUACGCGAGCUGGGUUCAGAACGUCGUGAGACAGUUCGGUCCAUAUCCGGUGUAGGCGUUAGAAUAUUGAGAGGAGCCUUCUCUAGUACGAGAGGACCGAGAAGGACAUACCUCUGGUGUACCAGUUAUCGUGCCAACGGUAAACGCUGGGUAGCUAUGUAUGGAGUGGAUAACCGCUGAAAGCAUCUAAGUGGGAAGCCCACCUCAAGAUAAGUAUUCUCAUC
This 1245-nucleotide ribosomal RNA is filed under the name metagenome. RNAcentral describes it as "bacterial LSU rRNA". It matches the Rfam family "Bacterial large subunit ribosomal RNA", at positions 1564 to 2818 of the family's 2925-position model. The record is from RNAcentral.